Molecule: ribosomal RNA, 522 nt
Filed under: uncultured soil bacterium
Lineage: Bacteria
Description: bacterial SSU rRNA
Rfam family: Bacterial small subunit ribosomal RNA
Source: RNAcentral
AGAGUUUGAUCCUGGCUCNNNNUGAACGCUGGCGGCAUGCCUUACACAUGCAAGUCGAACGGCAGCACGGGAGCAAUCCUGGUGGCGAGUGGCGAACGGGUGAGUAAUAUAUCGGAACGUGCCCAGUCGUGGGGGAUAACGUAGAGAAAUUUACGCUAAUACCGCAUACGAUCUAAGGAUGAAAGCGGGGGAUCGCAAGACCUCGCGCGAUUGGAGCGGCUGAUAUCAGAUUAGGUUGUUGGUGAGGUAAAAGCUCACCAAGCCGACGAUCUGUAGCUGGUUUGAGAGAACGACCAGCCACACUGGGACUGAGACACGGCCCAGACUCCUACGGGAGGCAGCAGUGGGAAUUUUGGACAAUGGGCGAAAGCCUGAUCCAGCAAUGCCGCGUGCAGGAAGAAGGCCUUCGGGUUGUAAACUGCUUUUGUACGGAACGAAAAGGUCUGCCCUAAUACGGCGGGCCCAUGACGGUACCGUAAGAAUAAGCACCGGCUAACUACGUGCCAGCCGCCGCGGUAAUAC